AUUGAACGCUGGCGGCAGGCCUAACACAUGCAAGUCGAGCGGAUGAAGGGAGCUUGCUCCUGGAUUCAGCGGCGGACGGGUGAGUAAUGCCUAGGAAUCUGCCUGGUAGUGGGGGAUAACGUCCGGAAACGGGCGCUAAUACCGCAUACGUCCUGAGGGAGAAAGUGGGGGAUCUUCGGACCUCACGCUAUCAGAUGAGCCUAGGUUGGAUUAGCUAGUUGGUGGGGUAAAGGCCUACCAAGGCGAUGAUCCGUAACUGGUCUGAGAGGGUGAUCGGUCACAAUGGGAAUGAGAGACAGGGCCAAGACCCACGGGGGGGAGCGGUGGGGGGAAUUUGGGAAUGGGGGAAAGACCGAGAGCGAACCGUCGCGGGGGUGAAGAAGGUGUUCGGAUAGUAAAAAUCUGUUUGUAGUGGAGAAAGGGGGUGAAAGUUAAAACCUCGUUGUUUGACGGUAACCAACAAGAAAGGGACGGGUAACUUCGUG
RNAcentral lists this ribosomal RNA (485 nucleotides) under uncultured bacterium. RNAcentral describes it as "partial 16S ribosomal RNA". It matches the Rfam family "Bacterial small subunit ribosomal RNA", at positions 29 to 507 of the family's 1533-position model. The record is from RNAcentral.